Non-coding RNA from Pelobates cultripes (western spadefoot toad), 20847 nucleotides. NCBI's taxonomy places the organism in Eukaryota, Metazoa, Chordata, Amphibia, Anura, Pelobatidae. The record is from the annotation of a GenBank genome assembly.
CUUCACUGCUGUUCGCAAGGAACAUUUAAUAUUUCACUGCAUGAGAAGGAGAUCUUAGGUGAGUUACAAGCGUUAAAUAGUAAAUUGAUAUCUACCUUAGAUGUUUGAUCCUUUGAAGUAGUUGUAUGUGAAUAGAAAUGCUUGGGAGGUUUUUGGUAUUGAAGCUGGAUUUGCUAUUACAAACCCUUGGGAUAUUUGUUUUGUGUCAAUCGACACGUCAAAUUGAAUAUCACAGACUUUUGCCAGCACGGAGUAUAAUUUGUAUGCAUGUGUAUCAAACAUUGGUAGGUCCACCCUAAAGCCUUUUUUGUGUCAGAUAUAUUCCUUUUUUUUUUUUUUAAAUAAGACUGAUUUUAUUUCAUGUUUGUUGUUGAACACUGGAAAUUGGCAAUAUUUAGAGGUUUGUAUGGAUUACUUUUAUUACAGUACAGAUGCCACAUUUCCUAAAAAUUAAAAAAUUGGACAAAAAAAAAAAAUAUUAAUUUUUUUUUAAAGGGAAACUCCAGCCCCUUUAGCUUGCUGAAGUGCCUUUAUGAUUAACUUCAUGUCUCCUUAGGCUUAAGGGUUACUGCAACCAAAAUCCAGUGUUUUAUGAAAACAAUAUAUUUUUUAGAGUAGCCCUAGGUGAGCUGUGAGCUGGUCUGCCAUUUCCCCCCUCCCCCAGACUUAAAGGGAAACUAUAGUGAUAUAGGGGAGGCACAAAGGAAGGCAUACCAAAGUUGUAUUCCUAGCACUAUAGUACUCUAUAGUACCCCCUUCCCUCACCAGCGAUAAAAGGGUUAAAAGCCAUUUUGUCACUUACCUGAUUCAAGCAUCAAGGUCCCUCGCCGCUGGCUCAGGUUCCCCCUGCUCUGCCGACGUCAGCUUUUGGAAGGGGGCCUAAUGCGCAUGCGCAAGCAAUCACCGCAAUCGCAUUAGGACUAUCCCAUAGGAAUGCAUUGAAUCAAUGCUUUCCUACAGAGUUUUAGCUGACACUGGAUGUCCUAAUGCAAAUCGUGAGGACGUCCAGCCAGGCAACCUAAAGUCCAGUUAAGCAACCAAAUGUCACCUAACACAGUGCUCCUCUCCUCCCGGUCACUUCUCAUAGUGUGGCCAAGAGCCAGCAACUCCGUCUAUCCUGCCUUCCACUCUGCAGUGCUGCGGACUGUGCGGAGGGGGCAGAGAUAUGAAGUCAUAUCUCUGCUCCCCCUGUAGCACAUAGUGCUGCUGGUGCCCAGCAGGGGCAGAGCUACCGCCGGCCCCCUUCUCAUCAGCAUGGGAAGACUUACUCCCAAGAAGACUGGAGCCGCGAGAGCAGGAGAAGGCAGAGAGGAGGGGAGCUGGGCAGGGCUAGCUCCUCCAACUCCCAACUACCUCAGGCAUCACUCUAGAUCCCAGGUAAGCCACCCUCCUGAACCCACAAGGUAGAAAACAGAAUGGUGGCUAGAAAAGUGUAUAUUUUGACCAGCAUGUAUGUGUGUGUCUGUCAGUGUGUCUGUGUGUGUAUCUGUAUGCCUGUCAGUGUGUCUGUGUGUGUGUGUAUAUCUGUCAGUGUGUAUGUGUGUAUUUGUAUGUCUGUCAGUGUGUCUGUGUGUGUAUGUCUGUCAGUGUGUGUCUGUAUGUCUGUCUGUGUGUGUGUGUAUCUGUAUGUCAGUCAAUAUGUAUGUGUGUGUCUGUAUAUCUAUCAGUGUGUAUGUGUGUGUAUCUGUAUGUCUGUCAGUGUGUAUCUGUAUGUCAGUGUGCGUAUAUAUCUGUAUGUCAGUGUGUGGUUAUCUGUAUGUCUGUCAGUGUUUGUGUGUAUCUGUGUGUCUAUCUAUCUGAAUAUGUAUCAGUUUGUGUAUAUUUGUAUCUGUGUAUCUGCAUGUGUGUCAGUGUGUGUAUCUUUGUGUAUCUGUAUCUCAGUGUGUGUGUGUGUGUGGCAGUGUAUGUGUAUAUGUACAUAUAUCUCAGCAUUCAAAUGCCAACACUACACACAAAUACACAUCUGCAUGCAAACAUCAACACUACAUACAAACACACCACUGCAUUCAAAUGUCAACACUACAUACAAACACACCUCUUUAUUAGACACCAAAAUUAUAUAUAGAGGAAGUGCAGGGGGGUGGCAAAAUGCAUCUUUGCCUGUGUAGUCAAAAAUCCUUGCACCGGCCCUGGCAAUAGCCUCACAAAGCUUUUGUAUGGGAAAGCAUUGGAUUGGCUGAGAUCAUCAAGUUUGAUGAUCUCAGCCAUGGAGGCGGGGCCAGCAGCAACAAGACAAGCAUGGUGUGGGAAAAAAGGUGAGUUUAAAAACCUUUCACUGCUCUGACAUAGGGGGUAUAACACUAUAGUGUCAGGAAUACAUGAUUGUGUUCCUGAAUCUUUAGUGUUCCUUUAACAAACAGGGAUGACAUAUGGAGGGUGGGCAAUGGAAAAUACACGUGAGUGAUUUAAAAAGGGGGAACAUUAGGUUUGGCAAAAUAAAUUUUAUAAACAACAUGAAUGGAAAUGGAAGAAAUAACUGACCAUGAAAGGUAUUGGAAUUAAAAGAGAAAUCUAAUUUGACAUAUACAUACAGUGUGAUUGCGAGAGAGUGUUAAAAAAGGGAAAGAUUCAUCUUUUCAAAAUCGUUUAAUCUUUUCUGUCCAGUCAGGGUUAUUCCAUGUUGGUCAAUGAUAUGGUUAAUAUGCAAGUUACAUAAGUAAUUAAAAGACAGAUAGUAAGCUGAUGUUGGGUAUUCCAGAAUAUUGAAUGUUGGGUAUUCAAGAAUUCCUGCUAAGAUUAAUUUACAUAAGGUUGGCCAUCUGCGAUGCUUGGUAGUUAAAGUCCAUAAUGAAUAGGUUUAGAGCCUGUAAAUAUGUUUAUAAGUUUCCGGGAUCUGGACUGCCCAUUCCAUUCUUCCUGUAAAAAGAUAUUUAAUUGUAGCCAGCAUGUAAGGGAGUCUUCCGCGCAAUUUUUAAAAUUGGCCUUGCAGUUCAACAUUUUUAUAGAUGGCUUAAAGCCUUAAAAGGGACACUGUAGGCACUAUAACUUCUUCAUCUCAUCGAAGUGUUUAUAGUGUCAGUUGCGCUGUGCUUCCAUUGAGCAUUAACAGGGCCCUGGAAAAAAAUAUUUACCAGCCCCAUAAUGCGUCGCGCCAGUAUUGUGUGCAGAUACAGAGUUAGAAAAGAGAACUUAAAAUUAAAAAUUAUUACUUCAACGUAAAAAAAAAAGCACUCAUAGGCUUCAAAAUAAACAAAAGUGCAGAUUUAUUUUAAGCAGACGUGCCUUUGCAUGUAAUCAAUGUUUCAGUCCAACUACCUUGACAUAAUAAGGAAAGCUUGGUAAUGGGACUGAAAUGGUGAAUGUAUGUAGGGCACAACUGUAAAAAAAUGACGUUAUCUUGUUUAUUUUGAAGUCCUGUGGGUGCGCUCUUCACUUUAAAUAUGUUAUUGUGAUGGAGUCUGCAUCUAGCAACAAGACUGGGACAAUAUCUGCUCAUUACAAAUGGUACAUAUUAAUGACAUUUAUCUGUGUAUUAUGCAUAUAUAAAUGUACAUUAAUAUAUGUGUAAAUAUAAUAGGCAUACAUAUAUAUAUAUAUAUAUAUAUAUAUAUAUAUAUAUAUAUAUAUAUAUAUAUAUAUAUAAAUAUAUAUAAAACUAAUACACAUUAAUAUACAUGUCAUAUACCAGUGGUGGAUCCAGAGCCUGAUCCCGGGAGGGGCACUUGUAGAUUAUUUAAAGAAAUAAUCCAUGCACAAUAACCACUACUGCUCUCUGUAGUGGUUAUGGUGCCAGGAGUGCCGGGACCCCCUCCCAGAGUAAGUAGUCAAACCGUUUAAGAACAGUUUGACAACGUAUCUGGGGUCUGCUGGGAUAUGGGGCUAUAGUAGGGUAUAGGAGCAGUGGUGCAAUGUGUGAGGGGUGCACUGUGUGUGUGAAAGGUUCAGUGUAUGUGUGUGUGGGGGGGUGUAGUGUAUGAAUGUGUGGGGUGUCUGGCAAUAUGUGUAUGGGGGGCUGUGUAUGUGUGCAGCAAUGUGUGUGUGGGGGGCUGUGUAUGUGUGUGUGGGGCAAUGUGUGUGAGGGCAGUGUGUGUGUGUGUGUGUGUGUAUGGGGCAAUGUGUGUAUGGGGGGCAGUGUGUGAAUAUGUAUGGUGUGUGUGGGGGCAGUGUGUGUAUGGGGGGCAGUGUGUGCCGCACGGUGCCUGUGGAACGAGGAGGGAGAUCGGCUGGCAGGGGAGAGCCUCGUGGGGGGGAAUUGCCCUGUUGCCUCCCCCUCUGUGUCCAUGUCUCCCCUCUCCUUUCCAGUCUCUCUAUUCCCCCUCUGCCUCUUUCUCCCCCUCCCUUUGUGCAUCUCUCUCCUUUCCCCCUCUGCCUCUUUCUCCCCCUCCCCUUGUGUGUCUCUCUCCUUUCCCCUUGUGCGUCUCUCUCCUUUCUCCCUUUGUCUCCCCCUCCCCUUGUGUGUCUCUCUCCUUUCUUCCUCUGUCUCCCCCUCCCCUUGUGUCUCUCUCCUUUCUCCCUCUGUCUCUUUCUCCCCCCCUUUCCCUGUCUCUCUCCCACCGUCUCUCCCCCUCUGUCUCUUUCUCCCUCUAUUCCCCCUCUGUUUGAUUUCCCCCCUUCCCUUGUGUCUCUUUAUUCUCCGUCUUCCCCCUCCCAUUUACCUGAGAGGAGUCAGGGGGGCCGGCCACAUUCCACGCUGGAGCCGCCGGGCCGGGUGGCAGCCUCGCCGGUCUGGCCGCCCUCCUCCUGUCACUGAUGGCUGAGGAGUGAAGAAGGAGGAGGGAGGAGCAUGUCUCUGUACCAUGCUCCCUCGCGGUUCCUGUGUUGUGGGUACAGAGACAUGCUCCUCCCUUUUCCUUCUUCACUCCUAAGCCAUCAGUGACAGGAGGAGGGCCGCCGGACCGGCGAGGCUGCCACCCGGCCCGGCGGCUCCAGCAUGGAAUGCGGCCAGCCCCCUCAGAGUGUGUGCCACCGGACCGGCCACCCGGUGGCACACACAUGCUCAGCGCAGCCCCCAGAUGCCGCGGCCCACCGGGAAAUUUCCCGGUAUCCCGGUGGGCCAGUCCGGCCCUGAGCAUUAAGCAAUAUGAAAUGUUUGAUUGCUAAAGUAUAGUCCACAGCAGUCUAUCCCUUCUGUGCUGCUUGAAUUAAUUAAGUAUUAAUCUGAACAGCAAUGGAUGGUUGUGAUUGGCUUAGAAUGUCAGCUGACUGCUUUCAGACCAUCACUUUGCCUAUAGCAGGUGUGAAUCGGCAUGGCCUUAGCCAUAGCUCCAGUAGGGGAGGCUUGGGGUGGCCAGGGACCCUCAUUCAGUGCUAGACUGCUCCAAAAUGAUUUAAUAAAGUAUUAAAGGACACUGCCAUUGGACUCCAGACACUAUAUCCAAUUUAAUUAGAUGAAAUGGUUAUAGUGCCUACAGUGUCCCUUUAAUAUGUCAAAAUGAGUGGACAAGAAAACUAUGCUUCUCGAUAUAUGCCAGACCAUGUCCAGCAACUUAAGGAUUACCAAGCCCUCAGUCAUAACAAACAAUAGUGUAAUUAUAUAAUUGUGUAUGUAUCCCCUGUUCAAGAACACUGUCAAUGGGGUGUGCAAGACAGUGCUUUAUUAAGCAUUCCCCUGUGAAAACUGAAGUCACAAUAUAGGGAUUACCUAUUUCUAUUCCAACCAUAUAUUAAAAUACAUACAGACCAUUUGUAGUCAUUGAGGACUACUGUGGGAAUUUACAAUGUAGAGCAGGGCUGCCCAAAAUGUAGAUCUCCAGAUGUUUUAAAACUACAGCUUUCGUGAUGCCUUGUCAUUCUAAAGGCAUGCAAAGCAUCAUGGGAGUUGUAGUUCUACAACACCUGGAGAUCUACCUUUUGGGUACCCCUGAUGUAGAGUAUGCACCUAUUCCUGUUUUUAUUUAUACCCUAAGAAGUGCAUUGUGCUCUGCCUUCAUCUGAUGUAAUUAUCUUAGUUAGCUACGUGCACUGCUAGUUACAUACUUGCUCAAUUGAGAUUUCUUUUUUCCUACCAUUGCAAACAGUUGAAAAAUAAAAUAGAAAUCACAUUUCCUAUUCGCCGAGCCAUAACAGCUAGCGGUCACAUGACAGCUAUAAUGCAUGGAAAUAUAUAAUUAGCUGAUAUAAGCAGUGCACAUACCAUUGAAUAUUUCAUCAACCAUUCAAACAAUUUGCAUUCUUGUUUUACUUUACAAUGUAUAUGAGGUUCACCUUCCGCGCUGCAUAAUUUCUACUUUUUUUUUUGAAAUGCCAAAUAUCAUUGUAUAUUUUACCAAAAUAUCUAUAGAGGUGACAGACCAUAGUGCAUUCAUUUUCCUUGAUUUUGUACUGAUGGAAAGGACCAUCAUGAAUAAUUCAAAAAUAAUGCUGAGACUGUUAAGAUUUAGUGCUGAAGACUAGAGGUCACCACAGUUGGGAGAAUCAAGGUAGGCGAGGAUUGCUAUUGCACGAUCUUUGAGUCUCAAGGUGACAUCAUUAUUAUUUCUCUAUAUCUAUAAUGUGGUGCUGCAACCAACUUAUUGCAAUGUUUCUCAUGUAGGGUAGAAAGAUCAAUUACAUACAGACCUCAAAAUGUGAACUAUAAGCAUAGUGUCCAAUAAAACUGUCAUUAACAGUCACCACAAUUUUAGCUGCAUGUUUCCAGGUCAAGCUGUUUUAAAAACGAUAACUGACUUUGAAAGGUUGAAUAAAGCGCAUACUCAUUCCAUAGGGAACAAUUUUGUAACCAAACAUGUGAAACUAUUUUAUUAAAUCACACAGUAAUAACUCCAUAGUUUUUUUUGUUUUUUUUAAAGAUAUCCUGUAUUGGUCGUUAAAUUACUUCCCAAUAUAAACAGUGUAACACUGUGCAGACAGGUAAUACAGAAGAGAGUUUAUACCUUUUGCCAUUAUGUGUCAAGAACAUUGUAUUUAAUACAUUCUGAAAAUGUUCUACUUUAAUCAGAAUUAUUUCUGCGUUUGCCUUGUGAUUAUCUGUAUUUUUAAUGGUUUGUUAAUAGAACUGAGCUUUAAUAGAACUUUUUAAUAACACGUUGAAUAUCAGUGAAGGAUUGUAUUAUAAAAAUAAAUCUUCCAUAAUUUAUGUUUCAAUACUUUAGACAUUAUUGAAUAUUAUGUAUCUUAAAAGAACCCUCCUGUCACCAUAACAACUUCAUCUGAAUGAAGUGAUUAUGGUGUCAACUGUUCGAGAACAGUUUAACCCCUUAAGGUAAGAGAGUGCUCGGGGACCUCCUGACACCAGGGCCAGAUUUCCCAUAAGGCCCUUGACGGUGGCCUUGGAAUAGUAGAUCUUCCUCACCAGCUAACCCAUUCUCAUGAUGAGUGUGUGCAUGUGCAGAGGCCAACCUGCACAAGAAGAAGAUUAUCGACCUACUUGUUCUCCUUCCAGGCCAGCUGCUGAGCUGCUGCAUGAAUCAGAAGAGAGUGGGCUGGGCUAUGACAUCAUUCUUAUAACCCAGUGACCUCCUUCUCCAUGCUUGUAAGGGACGGAGAGGAUGCCAAAAGAGGACAACCUGCACAGAAGUGAGCACUCAAUGCAGUCCUCCCCUACUCUACCCUGUCCUUCUUGCACUCCAUUUCAGCUGGGCAGCCACCAGCCUGCCCAGGAAGGCCAGUGCGUGUGUCUGAACUGGUCACUGUGUGCGUGUCUGCAUGGGUAAAUGUGAGCGCGUCUGCCUGGGUCAGUGUGUGUCUGCGUGGGUCAAUGAGUGUGUAUGUCUACAUGGGUCAAUGUGAGCGUGUCCUCAUGGGUCAGUGCGUAUCUGCAUAGGUCAAUAUGUGCGUGUCUGCAUGGGUAAAUGUGAGCGUGUCUGCCUGGGUCAGAGCGUGUCUGCAUGGGUCAAUGUGUGUGUGUCUGCAUGGGUCAAUGUGAGCGUGUCCUCAUGGGUCAAUGUGAGCGUGUCUGCAUGGGUCAAUGUGAGCGUGUCUGCAUGGGUCAAUGUGAGCGUGCCUGCAUGGGUCAAUGUGAGUGUGUCUGCAUGAGUCAGUGUGAAUGUGUGCCUCUGCAUGGAUCAGUGUGAGUGUGUCUGUGUGAUGAGCCACCUGACAAGGCAUCUUACCCACAGCCAAAAAUCGCUCUCUCUGGUGCUACCUACGUGGAGAGACACGAGCCCCCUCGAGCUAUGAGUCAGCUUCACAGCUGCAGGGUCCCGCUGGUUGCCUAGAAGAAGCAAUGGGAGAAGGAGCCCACAUUCAAACCCUUUCUCCUGAUUGGCCGGUACAAGUUAAAGGGCUUAGUCACAAACCCCUCCCCUCACUGAGCGCUGAUUGGUCGCCGCGGUUGGUUUAGGCGCAGAAUAUGUAUCCACUGGCCAAAACCAAGUGAUUCUGUGGAGCUAUUUUCGGGUAUGUACCUCAAGCCCAGAUUUGGUACGCUGGGCUCUGUACAUCCGAUAACUCCGCUAUUUGCAGGGAUCAUAGCUGUACCACAUGUUUUCAUGUUACUUUGAAUGGAGACCCCCUGCUGGGGGUCUGUGCAUAAAUGUUGUGUAUCUUGCCUGAAAUAAACAGUUCUAUUUCACCCUUCACUAAGUCUCGACUAGUAUUUGGGUGAUACCACGAUUGCCCUUCUGCAAGCGACUAUAAUCACUGGCUAGCAGCUCUAAUCACUCUAUGGCUGGGCACAACUAGGAAGGGGUGACCACAGGUGGUAGUAACCCAUCCCCGAGAGGGUUUACCGCCACAGUCUGCAUAGGUUAGUGUUUGUGUGUCUGUAUAAUAAUGUUUAACGUUAAUAUGGUGAAGGGGUUAAUGUUUAAUGUAGCAUAGGGUUUGAUAAUAAUGUAGAGGAUAAAGAGAAAGUAUAGGUACCAUAAUCGCUUCAAUGUAUUAAAGUGGAUCCAGAAGCCUGGAAUCCAUAGGUGCCUGGACCCACAUCACUACUAAACCCUUUAGUACUAAAAAAAAAGGGAGGAGUUUACUGUAAGGGAACACUGGCACAUUGUCCCAAGGCUGCUUGGUGUUAGAAGGUGUUACAGCUCCAGGAUGAUGCAAUUUUGGCUAACCUAAUUACCAGUUGUUACCACUGGUGAAUGUAACUCUCAUUGGUUUUGCUCAAAUUUAGCACACCAAAGACUGCACACAGAGAUGAUCUGUGAAUUUUUCCCCUUUCAUUAAAGAGAAUAAUUACAUGGAUUUCAUUGCCAAUCCAUGCAAUAUGGUUUUUGAAAGCAUAAUCUGCCUUUUGAAAUAACAGAUUUAAAUAGAUUUCUUGACUUUAGUCAGAUAGAUAUGAAGCACCUAAGCCAUUCUUUAGAAAUUAAUCUUUGUAUGAUGCCACCUGUUCCACACACUCAUUGCUAGGUGUCACCAUUAAUAUGUAAAUAUCCCAAGACCUGUGAUAAAAGUGCAUGUGUUAGAGGAUAACAGAUUUCGACAGGUUAUUCUAACUUUGACCUUCAUAUUUCAAUUAGUACCAUAUAUUGCCCUUUUCACAAAUAUUAAGCCAAUAAACGCAAAGCCCCGAGGCAGACUGAGGUCAUAUUCUAAUGCUUAUAACAGAAAAGAUAAAAUAAUAAAAAUUAAUAUUCUCCCAUCUACUCCCAUACUGAACCCACCGCCAUAUAGUGGCCUUUUGGAAAAUUUAUUUAUUAGUCUUUAGAGAUUUUAUUGUAUAUUUUCCCGUUGAACACCACUGAGUUUGUUUGUGAUAUUUACUACCACAACUCUGUUUGACUCACUCACUUCCAAUAAGUUAUAAUUAAAAAGAAUGAAACCCACCAAGAUGUUUAAAUCAGAGUAUACUGUAUUUGCCCAGAGCUGUGAUCUCUUCCAAAUUGGAAUGUUUACGAAUGCCGAACUACCAGAUGAUGAUGCGUUUUGAUAUGUUGUAGUGGAUAUGACCAGGACAGACUAUUAACAAAGAAUACAAAUAUUUUUGAACUGUCGUGCAUUAAUUUGCUGUGCUAAAUUUUAUGAUGUGAUAUGCAUUCUUAAUGUAUAUGGUAAAUUAAAGUUAUAAUGUAGAAUUUUUUAACCAUCUUAUAACCUGCUAAUAUGUUUUUUUUUUUAAUGCAGGAGAUAUAUGUGCAAAUAUGACCAUCGUAAGUCUCUUUAUCCAUUUGCUCAUGUGCGUAAUAUCAUUUGUGUGUGUUGAACCCUUUUAUAAAUUCACAUGUGAAAUGACUGCAAUUAAUUUUGUAAAACUUAUUCCACAUCUUGCUGAAUAUUGUAGAUUGUGCAAGUUAAGUUAUUUAAGGCAGACACGUUUGCAUAGCCUCCUAAGAGGUUAAAAUAUUCUUAGGCAAAAUAUGUUGCAUCUGUCUGAAUAGACCCCGUGAAUAUCAUUUAAAUAUUUCUUGCCUGGGGCAAAUUGUGCUUGGUGUGGUUGCAUUUAAAUGAAUAAAUUCAUUAUAAAAAUGUAUUAGGGGAAAGUUGUGUGUUGACCUCAAACAUUUCUGAGAUGCAAAGUAAUGGUGCCCCAAUUUACUUUAUCAUUAAUCACAUAUCUUGCUUUCUUUUGUUAAUCAGUGACAGGAUUGUGCUCUUUUUUUUUUUCUUUAACAAAAAUCCCUAAAAAAAAAAUUAAGUAGAGUCACAACAAUGUAAGACAGAAUCUCUGCCAAAUCAAGAAUGUUAUAAUGAAUACUGUACUGUACGUUGUUGACUCUUAAAUCACAACAUAUAUUCUUCAAGUAUGUUAUCAUGUUGAAUGUAUUUUCCUUGCCACUGCUAUUAUUAACGUUUGGCAAUAACAAUAUCCUGAACGUCAACAAUGUGAUACUUUCACAAUGAACAUAUGUGAAUUGAGUUGAAUGUCUUUAUGUAAUAUUCUGAAUCUUGAUCCAAGAAUACAUGUUUUGAUAACAUGAGACCUCUUUGAUUGUAACAUAUUAGCUAAAAAUAAAAUGCAGUGACAUCGUUAUGAAAACAUUGAUUAACCCCAGGUAGCUUAAUAUUAACGUCCACAUUUUAUUUUGCUUAAAGAGACUCUCCGGGCACAAAUACAACUUUGAAUGCAUUUGAUACAUUUUGCAUGCACAAAUCUUUAUAGUUUUUCAAAAAAAAUAAAUAAUGUUUUGUAGAAUGCUGCAACGUAAGCCUGCCAUUUUUGCCACACCCCAUGUGCCAGAAUGACUUCCUUAUCAAAGGUAUGCGCACAGUCUUAGCCCCAAUAGCACUGAGUGAGCUGCUAAUAAUGUACUACAUGCAGACAGUCAGAGAAACUAUAAACAGGUAGUGAUAUCAUUACUAUAUUCCUUCCUGGGUGUCAUUCAGUGCUAUUGGCUGAGCUGUGUACAUACUUUUGAUAAGGAAGUAUUUUUCUGGAAAGAGGGGGUGUGGCUACGGAGGCAGGCUUAUGGUGCACUGUUCUGCAAAACAUUUAUUUAAAAUAUGCAAAAUUAUAAAGAUUUAAGCAUAAAAAAAUAUAGCAUGUUAAAGUCAUUUAAUAAGCAUUAAAGUCGUAUUGGUAGUAUGCGCAUCCAAAAUAAGAUCAUGUGAAGUUAGUUACUGCCUUGUUCUUCUGACCUCUGCUUUUUAAUAUUUCACAGUAUCUCUAAUCUGGUUCAUAGACAUUCCAUUUCUACAAAUAACAAUAACAGGGUUAUACAGUAAAGUGUAAAUUCAAAGUGAACUUCAAAUUUAAGGUCAAAAUAGACAGACUUGACAAAUUCUCUAAGUAAGCUGUGCUUUCAUUUUGGUUAUUCUUGCUUUACAUUCAAAAUUCACUUUGAAUUCUCAUUUUAGUAAACAACCCUUUCAGUAUGUAAGUAAGUCUGCCGGUGGAUUAGGGAGUGCUCCACUGUGUUUUGGAUAGUCCUGUGCUAGUGUCCAGUUUAUUUCUAUUUUUUUAUUAUGGAGAAAAAAGUAAGCUGUAGUCUACCUUAUUUAUCUUUUUGUGACCAACAAUGGUAAAAAGGGACUUAUGUGAGCUGCUAAGAGUAGCAGCACUGAGACGAUCUGAGCCCUUCGCACAUUCUAAAAGUUAACACUCCAUUGUUAAAGGGUUAACAUCUAAUGAACCUAUUGAGCCGUUUUGAUUUUUUUUAGGGUAAGUGAAAGGUAGAACCACAUAUUGAUACUUACCCGACUAUUCAAAUUCAGAUUUACUUUUGCUUCCCUGCAAUUUAAUACUGAUAUAUUCACCAGUAUUGGUUUCAUAAAAAUGAAAGUUAUAUUUAUUUGUAAUCUCUCAGCUUACACUCUAUUGGACAAUAAAAAAGUGAUAAACUUAAUAAAAAAAAAAAAAGCCAAGUGAAGGAAGUUGCUCCGGGAAUCGCAAGCCUAUAUGAAGGUUAUAAAUUUACUUGUAUACUUACGACAUUGUCAGCUAAUUUUUAUGAAAAGCCCAUCAUAGUACAAUGCAACAAAACAUUGGGAUCAGUCGUAUGUCACCUAUCUUACUUCCCCUGAUAAAAAAUAGAACAUGUAUCAUAAAAUAAUACUUCAAACUACAAAUGUAUCUUGAAAUUCUUAGUACGCAGUAACAUUUUAUUUUUGACCUUAGCUUCCAUGUGAACAUUCAAUUAAUCAUUAAUGUUAUAUGUUUUUUAUGUUCCUAUAUUCUUUAGAAAUAACCCAUGGUAAUAAUAAAACACAUACUGAUAUGAAUCGAUUUACUAGAUCCUGACACACACACACAAAAAAAAUGGUGUUGCGGCAAAGUUAUGCCAAAAUCCUAUAUACUAGUAUGCGUACACCAGAAUUAUGGCAUUUAUGGGUUUCUAGUCCGUCAGCUGUUGGGACCAUAUGAUUGUAUCCACUAGCAUUGUGACACAAGUCAAGCUUUCUGGCAUAGCCAAACUGGGCAUAUCGGACAAAUAUUCACUGCUAUACACAGGAUGGCCCCACAAUUACUCUCUGCACAUAUAUAUAGCAAUGAUUGAUAUAUAUAUAUGUGCUGCCGUGGAAUAAUCUUGAUGUAUAUCUCAAACCCAAAAAAUAGAAAAAGAACAAAAUAUAGUGCAGAUGGUAGCUAUGUGCUUAUAGAGCAUACAUAAAGAAAGUCAGACCACUCACGUGUAUUAGAGCCUAAAUCAAUUGGCUCAGUAAAUAGCGUUCUCGUGCUUUUUAGGGUAACAUCUCACCACUCCUCCGGUCUAAUCGGACACACUUAGUAAAAAGAGAAAAAGAGGCAACUAAUGUGUAGUAAAGUACUUAAAACCAUUUUUCUGUUUAAAAUCAGGAAGGUAUAUUGCUCACCUUAUUCAGAGCCUUAAAGUCCUAGCUCUGUUGGUUAUAGGCCAAAAUAGAGGGGAUGGCACUUCACCAAUGAAGACAAUGAAAAUAUUCACUGAUCUCUUUUGUGGUGCUAAAAGGCAAAAUACAGUUAACAUGCAUGAGGUCCAUAGGACAACAGCAUUACGCUAAAUGAGCCAAUUGGUUCUCUCAAACCCACUUACUGCAUGGCAUUAAAAAAUAUUUAAAAGGAGGCUGUAGGCUCUGUAACUGCUUAAUCUGCAAUCCCCUGUAACUGUCCUCCUGUUCAGUGUUAAAUUGCUUUUUAUGGUUUAAUGCUAAACAUAAGUCUCUAAUCCACUCUGUGCUGCUCAUUUAAAUGAGGAAGCAUUGGACCAAGCAGUCAUAUGAGGUGCUGAUUGGCUAAUAGUGUCUGAUGAUUGCUCUCAGACUUUCACAGCUGCCCAUUGCCAAUAUGAAUUGGUAUUGCCAAGAAAGAGUGUAAUCAGUACCUUAGACAUGUUGCAUAGCAUACAAAGUUCGCGGCUAGACAGUUGAGGUAUACACGACCGAUUAUCUUGCACCUGCUACUCCACUGCUAGUUGUUAAAGGCUCUUAACACUCUAACUCAAUGUCUUAUUAUGACUCUAGGGUUAUUGUUAUGAUUUCGCUGUUGUUGAUAUAAAUAUUAUUUUUAACUCUCACCGCAUAUCAAGCAGUAUGCACUAUUCCAAACCAGGGGUAUGCACCCUACCAAUCCUGCCAGAAAAGAUUACAAAUGUUAGUGUGAUGCUAGAGGCCUUAGUUGGGUUUUACACAUGUUCAUAUAGCCUGAUCUCAAUAACACAUAAAACACGUGCAGGAUUGGCAGAUGACACACAAUGUAAUUGUAUUAGGAAUAUAUGUCUAUCAGCUAUGUGUUAUCGUCUGUCAAUCACUAAUCCUGUGCGGCUGUUGUGGCCAAUGGGCUGUACCUUGGUUAAACUUGCACGACAAAAAAUAAAUAAAAAAAUAAAAAAAAUAAAAAGCUGGAGUGGAACAUUAUCCUGGAGUCUAGUGGCCUACUCCUGGGAUCACUUUGCAAUAAUUUCCAAGCUCCCACUUUGUUAUACAGCUUCGUACUAAUGCCGGGGCUGAGGUGAUGUUACACAGCCAUUCAAGCACUCAGAUCCCACGUUUAAAGACAGUUAAAAUAUUUAUUUAAAUUGAAUUGUAAUGAUAUCAGUCAUGCGGUUGUCUUUUGCAAUAUCCUCCUUUCUACCUAAAAUUACUUGUAAAACCUGGUAGGCUUUCUACAAGACACACAUAAAUUGCAUCAUAUAAAUGUCACUAGUGCUGAUGUGGUAAAUUGGACUCAUCAUAACGACACAGAUGUCCUGCCUAUCCACACACAGCUAUUACUUUUCCACAAGAAUUCACCGUGUACCUUAAGCUUCAUUUUAUUUCCACCUAUUUUGCUCCAGGAAUUUAAGUUACUGAAAAUGUAUUGCAAAACACAUUUCAGCCAACAGUAGCCUGGGGAUAACAGAGACAGCAGCUGGUAUUCUGAAUAUACCAGAAAAAUCACAGCCACAAAGCACAGUAUCUUUUGAGACUCCACUGAAUUGUUAUGUUAUUGGGAGCAACUGAAGCAGAGUAAAUCUCAGGGCGAACUCUUGUAGUUACCUUUACGCAUGCUGUUUGCUCCGACUGUGGACAAAUGUGUAGAGUGAGUGGUAUUGUUUGCAAAUGACAAACAACAUGUAUAAAAAACAAAACACACACAAAAAGAGAGAGACUGAGAAAAACCUAAUCUAAGCAUCUGUUAUCUGGCUUGUUGUAUAGAUUUGGAAAGCACUGAAUAAAAUAUAUCUGCCUGACAAUUACUAAUGAGUUUAUUCACCCAUACAAUAAUUUAUCUAGGCAUGUUUUUAAAGUAAUUGAAACAAAUUAGCUUUAGGAAAGCCCAUGCAGACACCUUGUCGAAGCAUCUCAGAACAGUCUGCAGUGAAAACAUUUUUCCCCAAAGAGUUGUACCUUCCUAAGAGCUGGGCCAUGCUCUAGGGAAGAAAACGAUCUACGAACUAAUGUGACUGAACGUGAAAGGGCUGAAAGGGCCAGUAUAAAGCUUCCACUAGAGCUAGGAGACUAUUCUUACAGAGUCACUGGGGCUUCUAGGCCAAUUUGUCCGUUCUAACGUCUUCACUCCUGAUGGUUGAGAAUAAAAUCUUUGAAUGCUUUCUCUUUCUUAACCUAUUUAAAUGAUAAGUAGGGCUUGUUAAAUUGGUGUGUUUCACGUAAGUCCUUUUUACAGGACUUUUAACUGCAUGCUUGAGCCUGCAGUCCAGACAUAGAAUAUUUAAGAAUGCAUCUGAGAGGGUCCGUGCAGAAGAAUGAUGAUCUCAGAUGUUUAUGCAAAUGCAUGCAAAUUACAUGUAUAUUAGCUCCACCUUUGGUGGAGCUAUUUCCAAGAGGAAAUUCGGGUAACUUUUUUACUGCAUUAUCUUUAUAUUAAAAUAAAUAUCAUGUCCACCAGAAUACCUUCAUUUUUGUAUAUCCUUUCCCAUUUUGUUCUUUCCAUUACAACUAAUAUACAUUGUAUACCAUGUGCAGUGAUAUUCAGUGGUUAACGUGUAAUAACUGAAGAAUAUACUGCUGUCAUGAUACCUCCAGAGUAUCUGCAUAACUGAAGAAGGAGUUUAAUUGUAGUCCAAGCCAGCUCUAAGACAGCUGUUCACUCAUCAAGCAGAAAGAAUAAGUGUCAAUUGUAAUAGUGUGGGCAUUAAUAGAGAUGAUGGUUAUUGGAAUACAUUGUUAUGGGUUAUCAGCUUUGGGCAUCCCUUACUGACAUUAAUGACACAAGAGAUCAGAUCAAUGUUCGUAAAAAGGAACUAUAAUUGUCAAAUUAAUUUUAUUUAGGUAAGCCUGCCACUGUCGUUUUUCUGAACGAGGAGACAGGGUACCACUGUAUGUCAAGACUAGAAAAUAUUGUUUAGAGUUUGUUAUUAAUAUUAUCUGUUUUAUAUUAUUAACAAAUCAUAAUUGGUUGUAUAGCUUUCCUGUACAUUAUAUAUUACAAUAAAAAUCAAUAACUGCAAGAAAGACUUACUUGUUUUCAUUGCUUCACGUUAUAUUGUUAUCACAUUCACGCCGUUUCUAUUUCUCUCUACUCUUGCCUCUUUCUCUCUGCUGUUUUUGUGUAUUUUUUGUUCUCAUUCUUUUAUAUCUUGUUCUUUUAUUCAUUUUUUUUUCUUUUCAGAGAAGGAUGUAAAAAAAGUUUAUUCUGUAAACAUAUUUUAUGUUUUGUGUUUUUUUUUACGUUUGUUUUUUUGUUGAAUUGAGAAAUGUAAUAUAUAUUUUUAGAGAUAAAAGUCAAGUUGAAAAAAAAAAUGUUAGUCUCUGCUAUUUUAGCCUACAGUUUGCAAUUCUGUUUUCAAUUGACCACAUUAUAAUAUAUGUAAAAAAAAAAAAUAUAAAAAAAAGUUCACUAUCAGAGGAGAUUUUAGAGGAGAUUGCCUGGUUGGUAAAGACUUUUAAAGCACCAUAACAACAAAUGCUUCUUGCAUGGAUUAUGGUGCAAGGUGUCCCUUUGCACUGUAUCUCGUCUUUGAAACAUGAGUAACUAAUUUUGGGAGAAAGAUUUUACUUUAUUCAAGAUGUAUCUGAACACAGCUUAACAGCAAACAUCAUGCGGAAAAUAGCAUUUUACAUUCAACAUGGAAUCAAAAUUUCAAAACAAUCAUUUUUCAAACCUGUAAUUAUUUUCUGUUCAGAAAAAUAUAAAGAUACAAGGAAAAAAAGGAGGAAGGGGUGCAAGGAAAGCUAAAUGGAUCUCAUUACUCUGAAAUAGGACAACAUACCUUACUAGACACCAACAUUCAGAACAAUUCCUUAUUUCUUCAUUCUGAGUGUGCACUUUAAUUUUCAGAAAAGGGGUACCAUUCUAUAUGAUGGUGAGAUCUUAUUGUGACUGCUAAGGGCACCAGGGUUAAAUCGUAAAGCAGUGGGGAUAGUGGACAACCCCAUGUGGAUGCAUUUGAGAGUUUUAAUGUUUGAGAUUUUAAGACUGACGGCUAUAUAACCAUCUGAUGUUACUUUUGCCUGCUGCUCGUGAACACCUCGUUUGGACGCUAUUUGAUUUUUCUUUUUUUCUUUUUUUUAAUAAAGUUCCUGUGGAUCAUGUCUUCACCUCCAGGAUCCCCUGCAGGUUGUGCUUGUAAGGGUUUGAUGUGUUGCUAUUGUGUUCCAGGUCCCAAUUGGCAUACCAUGUCAGUGACAUUGUGAGGCCAAAGAUGGUGGAGAUGAACCAUGGAUUAUAACAUAACGUAGAGAGAAUUUCACCAGUCUACAACUUCUUCAAUCAUAAAUCUCCAACUCUCCCAAAAUAUAUAUAUAUAUUUACUUCGGGCUUGGCACUCAAAGUAUCUUCCUGUCUUGUGCUUGUCUAGGGGCCAAACUUUAAGUCAGAAAUAUAUGAUCCAAAACAAAGUGCAUUCAAAGGUCGGAUAAAAUUGUAAAUCUGCUUUAUUUUGCAGGACAAAUUAAAAGAAUUUGCCAACGUUUCAGUCCAUCCCCGUACUUUUUUCAAGGUCUGUAAUUGCUGCACAAUAAAACAGAUUUACAAAUUAAUACAAAGACCUUGGGUGCACUUUAUCUUUGAUCUUGUAUAUAUAUAUAUAUAUAUAUAUAUAUAUAUUUCAUGUUGUAUUGUGUAUAUUUUAUUCUUUUUUGGAAUUCUUUAUUUAGUCAGAGGUGAGGAAUUACAUUGAACAGCAAAAGACAUAAUGUGCAGUAAAGGAUGUAAACUUUAUAAAUCAUAUAGGUGUGCUAGAAUAUGUACCCUUGCUGAGAAUUAUUGUGCAAAUCCACUGCAACACACUAAAUAAAAAGAGAAUCUGAGUCAGACAGGAGAGUUUGUGUAUAUAUAUAUAUAAAGCCUGGUAAAGUGUGCAUUACCUUAAUCUCUUGUAUAAAUCUAUAAUUUUAUUGCUCUGCAAAAUAUGUUGGCACUAUAUAAAUGCCAGUCAUAAUAAUAACAAUAAGAAUCCAUAUCACUUUAGUACCCUGUGCAUGCACUGUUAUCCGUCGCCCACCCUAAAUUGUGGGCUUCACUUACAACAAUGACACUAAUGACAAGAUAUGAUAAUGGACUUCUUGAGGCUUCUCCAGGAACUGUGCCACAGCAUUCAGAUGGCAUUUUCUGGAGGGCAUCAUUGGCGGUGAGUGCAUGUUGUGGCAUGCAUUAGGUUAUUGCUGGAUGUCUAAAGUAUGAGACAUUCAGUUUCCCCCUGGAAUAACUAAGGAAGGGGGAGCAUGACUGCUGCCCAAGAUUGCCUGGGUCAAUAAGGCAACAAAUGUAUCAAAGUUUGGGAUUCUUAAAGAAAGGGAGAGGGAGGGGACUUACCAGUCGGUAGAGAUGUCGCGAACUGCUCGCCGAACUGAUCGCGAACUGUCCGCCGGCGAACAAUAGCGUGUUCGCGUUGGGCGAACAUAUGCGAUUUCCGGUCCGUCCCCUAUUCGUCAUCAUUGAGUACACUUUGACCCAGAACCUCACAGUCAGCAGACACUUCCUGGGAGGGAGGGUCUGCUGCUGAUUGGCUGGAAUGCGUCUGCUGACUGUGAGGUUCCGGGUCAAAGUGUACUCAAUGAUGACGAAUAGGGGGCGGACCGGAAAUCGCAUAUGUUCGCCCAACGCGAACACGCUAUUGUUCGCCGGCGGACAGUUCGCGAACAGUUCGGCGAGCAGUUCGCGACAUCUCUACCAGUCGGUAGGAUCAGUUGAGGGCACCUGACUGUUUUUCCCACCCUCCCACCCUGUUUUUGGUGUUGUGGCUUGAGUCUUGUUUUGUUUUUUGUGUUGAAAAUAUACAAUAGAGGUGAAAAUAUAUAUAAUGAAAUAAUAAAAAUAAGAGCAGCUACUCGCAUCCACUAGCGACUAUGAAUGAGUGUAAGCUCAAAGGUUUAAACAAAGCGUGAGCGCUCUUUACUCAUGAAACAUUUUGAAGAUAUAAAUAAACCAAUAAAACAGUAUUUUAUUCCAAGAAAUUUAUAUAUAAAAAAGAAAAAAUAAUAACAAAUAUAAAUAACAGAUCAAAGAUGACCUAAACCUGCUGAGAUGAGUAUAAAAAACAAUGUAUCCCUUAAAAAGAGUAAAUAUAAAUCUACAGAAUUGCAAAAUGCACAGCUGAGUCAGAAGGGUUAACUCAGACACUAGGUAAAAAAUAACAACAAAGUGUAAGAGUAUUAUCCCCACCAGACUUAGAAACAAAUAUAACAACUGUAACAAAUGAUACAAAACUAGGUAUGUGCUGUAAAAUACCUUUCCUCGGUGUGGGCCCCCCACCGAGGUACAUAAAAAAUAAAUAAAAAAUGAUGAGUGGUGCGAGCUGGAGGCGGUGAUGUUAAAGAGAUGUUAAAGUCCAGCGAAAGGCACACAGGAUUCCUCAAAAUGCUAUGAAGUAUAUCGCGGUCGGGAUCUUCACAAAAGACCGCGAUAUAUACAGAAUACACUCACUGCCGCCGCUCUCAAUAGCUUCGAUGCCAGGUAAGUUCAUCCGAUGGGGAAAAAAGCGCCAAAGAACAAAAACCGCUUCCUGCUCUCACUCCUCAAUCACAGCAGGUGUAAGUUCAUCCGAUACACCCGUCUACGCGUUUCGUCCCUCCCACGGGACUUUUUCAAGACAGGAACUGCAGUGUGAAAUAACCCAAUAUAUAUACCCCACCAUCAAAUAAAGCAGGAUUGGAUUCACUUGCAUAUACAUAGCAAGUCUUAACAAGGUAUAGAUGAGAUUAAAUAUAAAAGAAAUAAAUAUAAAAGCAUUCAAAAAUAAAACCUAAUAUUCAGGUCAGGCAACAGAUACAAAACACAAUAUGUGUAACAUAUAUACCCCACCCCUCCCUCCCCCCCAAAAAACACAAAAAACACAAAAAUGCAACAUAUUAAAGAUUAUUUUUUAAAAUAAAGGGACAGCAAUUAACUGUAAUAUCUCAAAAUAAUUCUAGUUCCUCAUUUAAGCCAUUAGGUGACAUAGAGUUCAGCUUAAAGAUCCACACUGAUUCAGCCUUUAUUAAUUCACGUUUUCUCUUCGCUUCAUCCUGAUGGAAGGGGAUAUGUACUAUUCCCAUUAAUUUAAGACCAACAGGAUUAUUAUCAUGAAAGAUAGUAAAGUGGCGAGCCACCGGGGAUCUACUAUCAUUACGUAAUAUGGCUGUCCUAUGUUCACAAAAUCUACAUUUCAAGGGUCUGAUAGUUUGACCCACAUAUUGCCGUCCACAGGGACAGAUAAGGAGAUAUACCACAAAAGAAGUAUUACAAGUAAUUGAUGACUGCACAGAAAAGAUCUCAGUACUAUCAAACGAACUAAACGUGGAUUGUUGAUGACAAAUAAAUCCACAAGUUAAGCAUUUAGCAUGACCACAACGCUUAUUAGCUGCAACCUCUUGGCAGACUCUCUGGUGUCCUACAUUUUGACAGUGCAGUUUCGAAGGAGCUAGAAUGUUUUUCAAAUUAGGGGCCCUUCUAAAAGUAACUCUGGGAACCUUUGAAAUACAGAAAGACAACCAAGGGUCACUGGUCAAUAUUGGCCAAUAUUUGUCAAAAACUCCUAUGAUCUUAUCAAAACCUAUAUUGAAGAUAUAUGUUUUUUGUGUUGUCACAGGUUGGCGGGUUUUUCCUGGACAGCGCAGCUGGAAAAGGCACUUUGGGGAGACGACAGCCUGCACGGAGCGUAUGGCGAGUAGCCGACUUUUGAGACUCAUGGAACACAAUUUGGGGGAACUGUCUGUUGGGCAACCACCCAACAGCUGACAGAGUUGGAC